AGUGAACGCUGGCGGUAGGCCUAACACAUGCAAGUCGAACGGCAGCACAGUAAGAGUUUGCUCUUACGGGUGGCGAGUGGCGGACGGGUGAGGAAUAUAUCGGAAUCUACUUUUUCGUGGGGGAUAACGUAGGGAAAGUUACGCUAAUACCGCAUACGACCUACGGGUGAAAGCAGGGGAUCUUCGGACCUUGUGCGAUUGAAUGAGCCGAUGGCGGAGGAGCUAGUUGGCGGGGUAAAGGCCCACCCCGGCGCCGAUCGGUAGCUGGUCUGAGAGGAUGGUCAGCCACACUGGAAGUGAGACACGGUCCAGACGCCUACGGGAGGCAGCAGUGGGGAAUAUUGGAUAAUGGGCGCAAGCCUGAUCCAGCCAUACCACGUGGGUGAAGAAGGCCUUCCGGUUGUAAAGCCCUUUUGUUGGGAAAGAAAAGCAGCAGCUUAAUACCCCGCUGUUCUGACGGUACCCAAAGAAUAAGCACCGGCUAACUUCGUG
This 492-nucleotide ribosomal RNA is filed under the name uncultured bacterium. Its description in RNAcentral is "partial 16S ribosomal RNA". It matches the Rfam family "Bacterial small subunit ribosomal RNA", at positions 29 to 507 of the family's 1533-position model. The record is from RNAcentral.